AACUUUAUUCAUUUUCAACGGUUUUUUUUUUCUUAUUUUAGAGUAUCAUUUUAAAAAUGAUAGAUUAUGACUAAAAUGUUAUAGAAAUAAACUAUUUUAAAUUUGAAUAAAUUUACCUAAUUGAUACACAUGCUUUAUGUACAUUUUAUCCCUUAAUUUUAACUCAUAUUUAUGUCAUCCUUAUGCUUUAAUGUCGAGGAUUUUACACUUUUUGGUACUGUGUUUGUUGUUUUGCCAAUUUCUGUAGGUUUUCCUUCAUUAUCAAGCCGUCACAAGCACUAAUUAUAUUUAUCCUCUUACUUUCGGAGGUUUGGUGACUUUAGGAACUAAGGUGGUGACAAAAGGGAAGUCAAAUUAAUGAAAAGAAGCCCAACCAAAGAAAAGGUUUUUUUGAUUGCAAAUUAAACCUGGGUUCAUUAGCUUCGAAACGAUUGGUCACAUGCCCGAUUCCUAUAAGAAACGUCCAAGUUAUGACAUUUCAAAGACGCGGUGCGUACCAGGUACAAACCAAUCGACUGGUCGACCAGGACCAGUCGACCCAACUGUUUCAGAUCUCCUACUCCUGUGCAUGUAGUGCUAAUGAUGGAGGAGGUUGCUUGUUGGACCAUCUCUACAAUCAUCAUGAAGGCAAGUGGAUGAGCACUUGAAAUUGGCUAUAAAUAUCCCUAAGGUUCUCAAGGGAAGUCACACCCAUCAGCUCAAAAGUUGAAGUUAGCUUUAUCCUCUCUUCUUCCUUAGCAUAUUCAUCCUUUAGUGUGUUCAAAGUAACUCUUUAAUCCAAAAACUUUUCCUAGACUUCACUUAAACAUUUCAUUUAGCAUAUUAGUUCCUAAUUUCAAGCUUUAAGUUCUAAUUUAGUUGAUAAAUAUUAAUAGCUAGAAGUUCUUUUCAUUUGGUAAUCAAUCAAAGUACUUGGAUAUUCCAGAAUUUUGUGGGUUUGAAUGUACAA
This is a long non-coding RNA of Amaranthus tricolor (Joseph's coat), 949 nucleotides long. RefSeq lists it as uncharacterized. Lineage: Eukaryota; Viridiplantae; Streptophyta; Magnoliopsida; Caryophyllales; Amaranthaceae. The record is from RefSeq and is a predicted model, not a curated record. The transcript is spliced from 3 exons.